GUGGGGAAUAUUGGACAAUGGGCGAAAGCCUGAUCCAGCCAUGCCGCGUGUGUGAAGAAGGUCUUCGGAUUGUAAAGCACUUUAAGUUGGGAGGAAGGGCAGUAAGUUAAUACCUUGCUGUUUUGACGUUACCGACAGAAUAAGCACCGGCUAACUUCGUGCCAGCAGCCGCGGUAAUACGAAGGGUGCAAGCGUUAAUCGGAAUUACUGGGCGUAAAGCGCGCGUAGGUGGUUUUGUAAGUUGGAGGUGAAAUCCCCGGACUCAACCUGGGAACUGCCUCCAAAACUGCAUGACUAGAGUACGGUAGAGGGUAGUGGAAUUUCCUGUGUAGCGGUGAAAUGCGUAGAUAUAGGAAGGAACACCAGUGGCGAAGGCGACUACCUGGACUGAUACUGACACUGAGGUGCGAAAGCGUGGGGAGCAAACAGGAUUAGAUACCCCUGUAGUCC
Molecule: ribosomal RNA, 450 nt
Filed under: uncultured bacterium
Lineage: Bacteria
Description: partial 16S ribosomal RNA
Rfam family: Bacterial small subunit ribosomal RNA
Source: RNAcentral